UUAUUCUUAAAAUAUUGCAUAUUAGUAAAUAAAAGACAACUACGAUGGAGAUGGCGAUUGCGACUGCGAUCUUUAGGGUUUCGAUCUGAGAUGGCGAAUUCCGGUGAAGAGGGGGGAGGAUUGAGGGACGGUCUCUCGAUUGCUCUUGAUGGCUGUAGAAUUUGACAUUGGAUGGCUAUUCGAUGUCGAAAUUUCGAGAUAUUGGGUCAGUUAAUUUCAGAUCCGGCUCCAUGUGGGGGAUCUGCCGGUUUUUGGGUAUUGCGAGUAAGGACUGAGAGAGGUUGGAUAAGAUUCUCAUGUUUACUUAGUUGGAUUCACGUCCCAGGUCGGUUGUUUUUGGAUCUUCCUUUUAUGGAUGCUUGGAUUGAUACGUAUCUCGAAUUGAUUCUGAGGGUUUAUGGGAUCUAUGUUAUUGAGGUUACGAUUUUGGCUGUGGGCGAUACGAUCUCUCAGUUUUCGGGAAUUGGUAUAUUUGGUUAUUUACAAUCAAAGGUUUUUUUGGUAACUAUGAGGAUAUGGUAUCUGAUUUCUUCCCGGUUGGUGAUCGUGGAUUGUGGCUGUAUAUUAUUUUGCUUGAGAGGAGGUUUGUAUUACGGUAUUACUUUCUUCGUUUUCAAAAACUGGUGGUUUUGCUGGUGUACCAUUCUCGGGGUUUCCUUCUUGGAGUUUCAACGUUCAUCUUUGUCAAUGUGUGUGAGACUGCUCAUGGCUCAAUUGGCAAUCAACAAAGGCAAGGCAGCUAUGGUCCGUACUGUGGUUGUCAAGAUUUCGAGUUCUGUCUUGGCACAGCGAAUUCAACUAUUCUCACUUAUUCUGAUCGGAAGGCUAAUGAAUCCGGCAGUUCAGAGGAUAGAAUCCUUGAUUGUUAAUCUACCAAAGAUUUGGAAGCUGCAAGCUAAAGUCUUGGGAGCAGAUUUGGGGCAGGGUACCUUUCAGUUCAACUUCGAGGAAGAAACGGAUCUUCAGGAAGUUUUGCUCAAUGGUCCGUAUCAUUUUGAUGGCUGGAUGAUCUCAUUGGUUCGUUGGGAGCCUAUUGUUUCUGAUUCCUACCCUUCGGCUAUCAGUUUCUGGGUGAAGGUGGGUGGAAUCCAUAUGCACCUAUGGGAGUUGGCGACUUUAGAAGCCAUUGGGAAGAAGAUUGGUCGAAUAAAGGAGUUAGAUGAGGAAAUGGGUAGCAUUUGUGUUACGGUAAACGGCUUCAAUCCUUUGCUUUUCCAUAUGGUGGUCCCUUUUGAUACAGGUGAGGAGGUAGUGGUAUCUAUCGAGUACGAGAAGCUUUCUGGUUUUUGUAAGCACUGCUUCCGUUUAACACACGAUGUGUUGGUCUGUCCUGGGUUGACAAAUGUUUAAGCUACUCGAGGGUUGGUUGAACAAGCGAAUAAGAGGGGUACUCAACGACAGCAGGGCGGGGUUAAACAAGGUUCUGCUCAACAUGAUGGUGGGUGGGAGAAACCAAGAAAACAUGUGAAGCAUGUUUUGGAUUUCCAAACUGAGCAGGUCAAUGAGAGGAAACAAUCUCAGUUUAGGGGUAGGGAUUCCAGUUCGUCUGGUUACCCUUCACAAGUCAGAAACCAAGGUCUGGCUUGGGGACAAAAGAUGAGAUAUUAUGGUAGUGGGUCAGGAAAUAAUCUUGGUGUCGAUCACUCGGAUUCGUAGGUUAUUAACAGUUAUGUGGUGGAUCAUUUAUCCAGUGCUCCCCAACAAAGAAAGGGCAUUCGACCGAUGUUGCCAAAACCAUUGUACAAGGUCAAACAAUCUUCUGGUGAGAAAGGAAACCAUCGUCCUGUUCAGGGUGGUGAUGACACUGUGGUGGUCGAGGAUAAUUCUGUGGAGGUACCUGUUGAACAUGGUUCAGGAGAGGGGGAUGAGGAUCUUCAGGAUCAGGGAUUUAAUGAGAGUACUGAUGAUCUGCUGGAGGAUGGGGAGUUUGACGAUGAUACUAAUCUUCAGGAUUCAAGGUUAGCAUCGGAUUUAAUGCUUAAGGAUGGCACUGAAUCGGUGUUAGAGACGGAGGAUAAUCUUAUUCUGAUUCUGAUAAUCUUAGCCGGUACUCAUGUUUCUGAUUCUCUUUCUUUGAGUAUGCUUGACAUGAAUUCUGCUAUGGAAACAGUAUCUUUGGGAAAGCGGAUCAGUUUUAAUCCUAAAGCGGGUAAAGGCGUUAAACAGGCGGGUGUGGGUAAGCACGGUCAAAAGGCUAAAGAUGGCAGUUCUGCUGGUGGCGGAAGUCGGCCUUUCAAGAAAGGGAUGGUGGCUCUCCCGAAACCACCGGCUCAAACGUGAAGGUUCUAAGCUGGAACUGUCAGGGCAUUAGGGCUGAGUUGACAUAGAAUUAUUUGGGUGAUUUAUGGAGGAAGCAUCAACCAUAUAUUUUAUUUUUAGAGACAAAAAUGUUUUUCUUAUUUGCAAAAAUUUCAAAAUAAGUUUGGUUAUAAGAAAUUGUUUACUGUUGAACCCCGCGGGGGCUAGUGGUGGUUUGAUGUUAUUUUUGAAGGAUGAAAUAAAUCUUUCUAGUCUCUUUGAUAAUGAUCGUAUUAUUGAUACA
Camelina sativa (false flax) is the source of this 2542-nucleotide non-coding RNA. NCBI's taxonomy places the organism in Eukaryota, Viridiplantae, Streptophyta, Magnoliopsida, Brassicales, Brassicaceae. The record is from RefSeq and is a predicted model, not a curated record.